GAUUGGAGAGGGGAGAGGAGACAGGGAUGGAGCAGAGCAAGGGAUGGGGCAAGCAACAAACUUCACUUCCUUUCACUGAUCACCACCUGAUUAUGACAAGAGCGAGAGAGUUGUGAGAGAUGAGAGGUUCCGACUGUUGUUGUUGCUCCCUCCCUGCACUGCCUCUUCCCUGGCUCCCCUCCCCUCCCAUCUAU
Molecule: non-coding RNA, 194 nt
Organism: Triticum urartu
Lineage: Eukaryota; Viridiplantae; Streptophyta; Magnoliopsida; Poales; Poaceae
Source: Rfam